This 76-nucleotide transfer RNA is filed under the name Escherichia coli. Its description in RNAcentral is "tRNA-Met(cat)". It matches the Rfam family "tRNA". From Rfam's summary of the family: Transfer RNA (tRNA) molecules are approximately 80 nucleotides in length. Their secondary structure includes four short double-helical elements and three loops (D, anti-codon, and T loops). Further hydrogen bonds mediate the characteristic L-shaped molecular structure. tRNAs have two regions of fundamental functional importance: the anti-codon, which is responsible for specific mRNA codon recognition, and the 3' end, to which the tRNAs corresponding amino acid is attached (by aminoacyl-tRNA synthetases). tRNAs cope with the degeneracy of the genetic code in two manners: having more than one tRNA (with a specific anti-codon) for a particular amino acid; and 'wobble' base-pairing, i.e. permitting non-standard base-pairing at the 3rd anti-codon position. The record is from RNAcentral. Lineage: Bacteria; Pseudomonadati; Pseudomonadota; Gammaproteobacteria; Enterobacterales; Enterobacteriaceae.
GCGCGGGGUGGAGCAGCACGGUAGCUCGUCGGGCUCAUAACCCGAAGGUCGUCGGUUCAAAUCCGGCCUCGCAACC